This is a small nucleolar RNA of Acomys russatus (golden spiny mouse), 134 nucleotides long. RefSeq annotates it as small nucleolar RNA SNORA70. Lineage: Eukaryota; Metazoa; Chordata; Mammalia; Rodentia; Muridae. The transcript has a single exon. The record is from RefSeq and is a predicted model, not a curated record.
CUGCUACCAAGUAAGUCAACUAGUUCCUUUCCUCAUGGGGGCCUUGUGCGCAGUAGCUGAGGGUAGCAGCCCUCUUGGGAGUACACUUAACCUGUUGCCCACAGGGGUAGCCCUAAGGGACCGUGAAGACUGUU